Molecule: long non-coding RNA, 204 nt
Filed under: Ananas comosus (pineapple)
Lineage: Eukaryota; Viridiplantae; Streptophyta; Magnoliopsida; Poales; Bromeliaceae
Description: long non-coding RNA (ACOM_LNC040835)
Source: RNAcentral
GUAUAACUUCCACGAUUAUGGUUACAACCACUCCCCCCAACUUCUUUCAACCAACUAAUAACGUGAGCUAUAAAUAGUAACUUUGAAACCUGUAAUAAAGGUCUUUGCCCCUGCGCACAAAUGACCACCCUUAUUUUCCUGCAUCUUUCUUUCUCGCAUUUACUGCUUUCCCUAGGAGUAGUUAUUGUAACUUAGAUCUUUGGA